Molecule: transfer RNA, 71 nt
Filed under: Loxodonta africana (African savanna elephant)
Lineage: Eukaryota; Metazoa; Chordata; Mammalia; Proboscidea; Elephantidae
Rfam family: tRNA
About the family: Transfer RNA (tRNA) molecules are approximately 80 nucleotides in length. Their secondary structure includes four short double-helical elements and three loops (D, anti-codon, and T loops).
Source: Rfam by way of RNAcentral
ACAUUGGUGGUUCAGUGGCAGAAUUCUCGCCUUCCAUGCGGGAGACCCGGGUUCCAUUCCCAGCAAAUGUA